GCCCUUAUAGUUUAAUGGCAAAACACAUCAGUGGUAAUGAUGAAAUACAAGUUCGAUUCUCGUUAAGGGCA
This 71-nucleotide transfer RNA is filed under the name Candidatus Phytoplasma pruni. It matches the Rfam family "tRNA". Rfam says of the family: Transfer RNA (tRNA) molecules are approximately 80 nucleotides in length. The record is from Rfam by way of RNAcentral. Lineage: Bacteria; Bacillati; Mycoplasmatota; Mollicutes; Acholeplasmatales; Acholeplasmataceae.